This is a long non-coding RNA of Mizuhopecten yessoensis (Yesso scallop), 443 nucleotides long. RefSeq lists it as uncharacterized. The record is from RefSeq and is a predicted model, not a curated record. The transcript is spliced from 3 exons. Lineage: Eukaryota; Metazoa; Mollusca; Bivalvia; Pectinida; Pectinidae.
AAAUACAUAUUCCAAAAAAACUGUUGGUUGUUAUGUUUGUUUAUGGAUAAGAUCAUUCUUAUAUCAUUCUCUGUGUUACAAGAUUCUAUAAUUGCCUUCCAGAACAACACCGUACCCAGACAGAAUGGGAAGAUGGCUUCACGUUUAAGAUGUCCCUGUUCCAGUUUGUCAACAACUAUUCCUCCAUCCUCUAUAUUGCAUUCUUCAAGGGCAAAAAACUGAUGGUAUGGUUUAAGUCUCAGUCAGUGACUAAGGACCCCAACGAGGAGAAAGUGUACUCUAGGUGGGAACAGGACUUUCGUCUGGCCGACAUACCCAACCUUGUUUGACUGUUUGACGAAUAUCUUGAAAUGGUGAUCCAGUAUGGAUUUGUCACCGUUUCCGUGGCUGCUUUUCCAUUAGCCCCUGUGUUUGCUCUGAUCAACAACAUCUUUGAGAUCCGA